CCUACGGGAGGCAGCAGUGAGGAAUAUUGGUCAAUGGGCGUAAGCCUGAACCAGCCAAGUCGCGUGAGGGAUGAAGGUUCUAUGGAUCGUAAACUUCUUUUAUAAAGGAAUAAAGUGAGGCACGUGUGCCUUUUUGUAUGUACUUUAUGAAUAAGGAUCGGCUAACUCCGUGCCAGCAGCCGCGGUAAUACGGAGGAUCCGAGCGUUAUCCGGAUUUAUUGGGUUUAAAGGGAGCGUAGAUGGGUUGUUAAGUCAGUUGUGAAAGUUUGCGGCUCAACCGUAAAAUUGCAAUUGAUACUGGCAGUCUUGAGUACAUUUGAGGCAGGCGGAAUUCGUGGUGUAGCGGUGAAAUGCUUAGAUAUCACGAAGAACUCCGAUUGCGAAGGCAGCUUACUAAGCUGCCACUGACAUUGAUGCUCGAAAGUGUGGGUAUCGAACAGGAUUAGAUACCCCAGUAGUC
This 460-nucleotide ribosomal RNA is filed under the name uncultured bacterium. Its description in RNAcentral is "partial 16S ribosomal RNA". It matches the Rfam family "Bacterial small subunit ribosomal RNA", at positions 338 to 795 of the family's 1533-position model. The record is from RNAcentral.